Molecule: ribosomal RNA, 401 nt
Filed under: uncultured bacterium
Lineage: Bacteria
Description: bacterial SSU rRNA
Rfam family: Bacterial small subunit ribosomal RNA
Source: RNAcentral
CGCGUGAGUGCGAAGGUCUUCGGAUUGUAAAGCUCUUUUGGCGGGGACGAUAAUGACGGUACCCGCAGAAUAAGCCCCGGCUAACUUCGUGCCAGCAGCCGCGGUAAUACGAAGGGGGCUAGCGUUGUUCGGAAUCACUGGGCGUAAAGCGCACGUAGGCGGAUGUGUCAGUCAGGGGUGAAAUCCCGGGGCUCAACCUCGGAACUGCCUCUGAUACAACACGUCUUGAGUCCGGAAGAGGUGGGUGGAAUUCCUAGUGUAGAGGUGAAAUUCGUAGAUAUUAGGAAGAACACCGGUGGCGAAGCGACCCACUGGUCCGGUACUGACGCUGAGGUGCGAAAGCGUGGGGAGCAAACAGGGAUUAGAUACCCUGGUAGUCCACGCCUUAACGAUGGAUGCUA